GGAAAGUGAGGGAGUUCAACUCUGUAAAGGAAGAAUGGUAUGCCAGAAUCACUAAAUGAAGAAAGAUGGUGGAUCAGCUUUUCUGCAAAAAAAUUUGUAACUCCAGUCAAACUCCAUUGUCUCCAAGUCGACUUUCGUCCUCACCCACAACUCCUCCACACAAGCCCUGAACAUGUGUCCAUUUCCUCAGUGUGGCUGGCCCAGAUACUGACCCUACACAGUUGCCUCCCCCUGGUGACUACCCGCCAUGGAACCGUUGGAUACAAUCUGCAUGACUCACCCCACAGACCUCACAGCCCACUUGGACAGCCCCCACACGCCAGAGUGACCUGCUCAGUUGCAGCGGAAGCCAAGAAAUGUGCCUGCUGGCACUCACCCCACCGACUAGAGCCCCGUGGAAAACUUAUUUGGGUACUGUUCUGGGCCCAAUAAAGGCUGGAGUCCCACAGACCCCUUUUCUCUCUCUUGCUCCCCACUCAUCUUCUCCGUUUUGUUCAGCCCUAUGAGGUGUGCUACUGUAUUUGUCCAUUUUCACACCGCUGGUAAAGACAUG
This 553-nucleotide long non-coding RNA is filed under the name Homo sapiens (human). RNAcentral's name for it is "non-protein coding lnc-ZNF273-7:1". Lineage: Eukaryota; Metazoa; Chordata; Mammalia; Primates; Hominidae. The record is from RNAcentral.